CUCGUUUCUUUUAUUAAUAUAUUAAAGUAUCACACAUAGCACCUUAAAAAUAUGGUACAUGGAGUGUCCCUGAGAUAAUCCCAGAGUAGCCUGUUUAUACUGUACGCAUGUUUUGCCACCUACCUGGUUUCCACCUGGUGCCUGCGCUGUAACAGUUGUUUUACAGCUUAUUCAUUGCCAAGAGCGAACAACUAAAGCUCUCUCUUUAUGAAUAAAUGCCUACAUUGACUUCUGCUCGAGAACACUGGAAGCAGUGUGGGCAUCCAAAUUAAACCAUGCUAAAAUGAAAUGCUGGCGAGGAACCAGGGCACUGUUGGGACCAUAGCCACUACAAUGGAAUAAAAUUGUUAUGUUGCUUGGACUCUUCCUUUAGCGGGUGAGGGUUCAGGGAAAUGACCCCCUUUUCCCUCCUUUCAUUCUACAGUAUUUUUUUUCUUUGCUCCAAAAAACAGUCCUCCAGUAGUCCAGGUUUUGUCCCACCAACAGUCCAGGAAUUGUCAGUAUCUCCAUUGGAAUCAAAAAAGUACAUAAAUCCUGGAUUAUUGGUGGACCACUAGGACUGGUUUGGGAACCACUGAUGUAGAUGGCAUAAGCAGCGGUAACCAUGUAUGUGACUGAUAGCUGUGCUCUGCU
Non-coding RNA from Pelobates cultripes (western spadefoot toad), 633 nucleotides. The record is from the annotation of a GenBank genome assembly. Lineage: Eukaryota; Metazoa; Chordata; Amphibia; Anura; Pelobatidae.